AGUUUGAUCCGGCUCAGAUUGAACGCUGGCGGGAUGCUUUACACAUGCAAGUCGAACGGCAGCACGGACUUCGGUCUGGUGGCGAGAGUGGCGAACGGGUGAGUAAUGUAUCGGAACGUGCCUAGUAGCGGGGGAUAACUACGCGAAAGCGUAGCUAAUACCGCAUACGCCCUUCGGGGAAAGUGGGGACCUUCGGGCCUCGCAGAAUUAGAGCGGCCGAUAUCGGAUUAGCUAGUUGGUGGGGUAACGGCUCACCAAGGCGACGAUCCGUAGCUGGUUUGAGGACGACCAGCCACAUCGGGACUGAGACACGGCCCAGACUCCUACGGGAGGCAGCAGUGGGGAAUUUUGGACAAUGGGGAAACCCUGAUCCAGCCAUCCCGCGUGUGCGAUGAAGGCCUUCGGGUUGUAAAGCACUUUUGGCAGGAAAGAAACGCACGGAUAAUACCCCGUGCAACUGACGGUACCUGCAGAAUACACCGGCUAACUACGUGCCAGCAGCCGCGGUAAUACGUAGGGUGCAAGGCACCUCCGGAAUUACUGGGCGCAAGCGUGCGCAGGCGUGGGUUCGAAAGAAAGAUGUGAAAUCCCAGAGCUUAACUUUGGAACUGCAUUUUUAACUACCGAGCUAGAGUGUGCCGCAGGAGGUGGAAUUCCCGCGUGGCAGUGAAAUGCGUAGAUAUGCGGAGGAACACCGAUGGCGAAGGCAGCCUCCUGGGAUAACACUGACGCCUGAUGCACGAAAGCGUGGGGAGCAAACAGAUUACACCGGUAGUCCACGCCCUAAACGAUGUCAACUAGCUGUUGGGGCCUCGGCUCCUGGUAGCGCAGCUAACGCGCGUUGACCGCCUGGGGAGUACGGUCGCAAGAUUAAAAACCUAAAGGAAUUGACAAUCUUGCACAAGUUGUGGAUGAUGUGGAUUAAAUUUGAUGCAACGCGAAAAACCUUACCUACCCUUGACAUGUCUGGAAUCCCGAAGAGAUUUGGGGAGUGCUCGCAAGAGAACCGGAACACAGGUGCUUUCUACGGCUGCCGUCAGCUCGCGUCGUGAGAUGUUGGGUUAAGUCCCGCAACGAGCGGGCAACCCUUGUCAUUAGUUGCUACGAAAGGGCACUCUAAUGAGACUGCCGGUGACAAACCGGAGGAAGGUGGGGAUGACGUCAAGUCCAUGGCCCUUAUGGGUAGGGUCGACACGUCAUACAAUGGUCGGGACAGAGGGUCGCCAACCCGCGAGUGGGAGCCAAUCCCAGAAACCCGAUCGUAGUCCGGAUCGCAGUCUGCAACUCGACUGCGGAAGUCGGAAUCGCUAGUACCUGCGGAUCACAUGUCGCGGUGAAUACGUUCCCGGGUCUUGUACACACCGCCCGUCAGCCACCAUGGGAGGCUUUACCAGAAGUAGUUAGCCUGAACUGGGGCGAGGGCGAUUACCACGGUAGGAUUCAUGACUGGGUGAAGUCGUAACAAGGUAA
Molecule: ribosomal RNA, 1470 nt
Filed under: uncultured Bordetella sp.
Lineage: Bacteria; Pseudomonadati; Pseudomonadota; Betaproteobacteria; Burkholderiales; Alcaligenaceae
Description: partial 16S-23S ribosomal RNA intergenic spacer
Rfam family: Bacterial small subunit ribosomal RNA
Source: RNAcentral